Molecule: small nuclear RNA, 141 nt
Organism: Cynocephalus volans (Philippine flying lemur)
Lineage: Eukaryota; Metazoa; Chordata; Mammalia; Dermoptera; Cynocephalidae
Product: U4 spliceosomal RNA
Exons: 1
Source: RefSeq, a predicted model, not a curated record
AGUUCUGCAUAGUGGCAGUAUCAUAGCCAAUGAGAUUAAUCUGAGGUGCGGUUAUUGCUAAUUGAAAACUUUUCCCAAUACCCCACUGUGACAACUUGCAAAAUGGUUGGCAUUGGCAAUUUUUGACAGUCUCUACAGAGA